CACAAGCGGUGGAGCAUGUGGUUUAACUCGAAGCAACGCGAAGUAACCUUACCAGGUCUUGACAUCCCGAUGCUAUUUCUAGAGAUAGAAAGUUACUUCGGUACAUCGGUGACAGGUGGUGCAUGGUUGUCGUCAGCUCGUGUCGUGAGAUGUUGGGUUAAGUCCCGCAACGAGCGCAACCCCUAUUGUUAGUUGCCAUCAUUCAGUUGGGCACUCUAGCGAGACUGCCGGUAAUAAACCGGAGGAAGGUGGGGAUGACGUCAAAUCAUCAUGCCCCUUAUGACCUGGGCUACACACGUGCUACAAUGGUUGGUACAACGAGUUGCGAGUCGGUGACGGCGAGCUAAUCUCUUAAAGCCAAUCUCAGUUCGGAUUGUAGGCUGCAACUCGCCUACAUGAAGUCGGAAUCGCUAGUAAUCGCGGAUCAGCACGCCGCGGUGAAUACGUUCCCGGGCCUU
This 458-nucleotide ribosomal RNA is filed under the name uncultured Streptococcus sp. RNAcentral's name for it is "bacterial SSU rRNA". It matches the Rfam family "Bacterial small subunit ribosomal RNA", at positions 924 to 1382 of the family's 1533-position model. The record is from RNAcentral. Lineage: Bacteria; Bacillati; Bacillota; Bacilli; Lactobacillales; Streptococcaceae.